This is a long non-coding RNA of Cavia porcellus (domestic guinea pig), 4858 nucleotides long. RefSeq lists it as uncharacterized. The record is from RefSeq and is a predicted model, not a curated record. NCBI's taxonomy places the organism in Eukaryota, Metazoa, Chordata, Mammalia, Rodentia, Caviidae. The transcript is spliced from 3 exons.
CCAGAUUUAAAAAGGGGUUGAGGGUGUAGCUCUGCGCAAAUGCCCUGGAUUCAAUCACCAGAAAUAAGGACGGAAGGAAGCCUCACAUGGGAAUGUGGAACUAGAUCUCCAGUUGUAUCCAGCAUUUACCUCUUUGGAAUCAAGAGUUUCAUGUUCAGGAAUAGCCACCAAUGGAUGACCCAGCUUCACAGAAAGACGGCCAGAUGGAUCAGGGUCCUGCACCGGAGCAAUUUCAGUGAGGCCAGCAGUUUUGAUUGGGCCACAAGAAGACUCCAGCAAUGGUCACUUAGGCUCUGGACGGUCCCUCCUGACGUUCCCAGACUUUCUGUAAUGGAGCCUGCUUUUAUUUAAAGUUACAGCUUCACUGAAUCUCAGCUCUCAUACUCUGUAAAAUCCUCUGUUAUCACCGUAUCAGGACUCCUUCAGCCAGCUGAUACCAUUACUUUAAAUGGAAGCAGAGUCAACUAGGAACCUAAAUAGCACUCCAGGAAGCCCCAGAAAGUGCCCCCUUUCUCCUGUUCACAGUAAUCUCCUGAAAACCUAGGCAUGGCUUAGGUAGGAUCAGACUCUGUACUGCUUUAAAUGUCAAACUCAAGUCAUGGGUCCCAGACACAGCAGUCUUUAAUAGCGAAGUGGCACGGUAUUUAUCUGAAUCAUCAGAGUUGGCAGAAUCUCACAUUUUUAUUCUUUUAAUUUCUUAAUCUUAAAAAGAAUUAUCCUGCUAUUUCUAAAUGUCAGUAAAACCCGUAAAAAUACUUAACUGGAACUGAAUUAGUCACUGAAUAAUUACAUAAUGUCUACUUUUAUUAUUAUGUGCCUUCUUUCCAACAUAAGUAUAAAAUGAUUUUAAACCAUUUAUUUAAAAUCUUGAAUUUCAAAAACUAUGUGUUGAUUAUCCUAAUCGACAAAAGAGAGCAGAAAGUGAUUGAUUUUAACAAAUCUUUAAGCUCCCAAUUAUUCCUAUUUGGCUUGGAAUGCUUUCUCCUAUUUAAGAGCUUUUAACACAGUAGGUUUGACUUUUUGCUACUCUUAAGCUAACUGAAACAUGAGAAGAAUAAAAGAGGAUGGAUGAGGAUGGAAGGCAUGAGGCAGGGGCAGCUGGGGCGCUGCAGGGACAGGGGGAGACCAGCAGGAUGGGCAGAUGUCAGCCACGGGCCUCAGAGUUGGAGUCUCCAACUGCAAGGAGUCACUGACUCUGAUAAUGAGCAAGAUCAGAUUUUCAGUGCAAAAAGCCACUGUGGCUGAUGGACAAACUACUGAUGGGAAAGUAGAAGAGAUUAUGUAAUUCACAGGGGAGGGUGGAAGGAGGAAAAGAAAGAAUGCCUAAGAGAACGCCGUCCAAGGAACAGACCAGACUCACUUUUUGGGGUCAUUCUUGCCCUCUGAUGCAAGCACAGUAAUCAGGAGAGGAAAACCGGGAAGUGCUGGAAAGAAAGUAUGUUGAGGACUGGGGGGUUUAGCUCAAGCACCUGCCUGGAAAGUGCAAGGUCACGAGUCUGAUCACCGGUACCAAAAAAAGAAAAAAGAAAUGAUGUUGAAUCUGAAAUCACUGGGGCAUGCUAAAUACAGAGGUUUUGCAAUGCAUUAGGAGUAGAGUUACCAAGUGAAGAGAACAAAGGAUGCCGUAAGAAAAUCCUGCCACAGUCAGAAUAAUGGAGAGAAUAACAGUAAAACAUUACAAUCAGUUUUACAUAAGCGAAUAGCUUGCUACCCAGAGAGGAGGAAAAUCCUGAACAGCAAAGAGACACCCACGCCUGUGAACUUGGUGGUGACUACACUGGAGAACAAAUUACUAUUUUGCACCAAGUAGAAAAAGCCCUGAAAAUUAACUGGUUUUCUCAUUAGUACACAAUCCGUCAUACAUUGAUGAAUGGAAUAAAAAGUUUAGGAGAACUGAGGUAAAACACAUUUUGUUCUCCAUGGAAAAUCCAGUCUUAUAUACUGUGUAACAAAUGAAUUAGACCUUUGCCCAAUAAUUUCUAUUAGAUAAUCAGCAGGUGGCAUUUUAAAAAACCGUUCAGUAGAUUUUUAUUGUAUUGCUGAACACAACAGCCACCAAAUUCACACAAAGUCUUGUGAGGUGUUUGUUACCAGGAUAGAAUUUUCUCAUGAAUGUUAACUGAAGAGACGCCAUCCCCUCCAGCCAGCUGGAGAAAGGAGAAUCCCACCACUGAUGCAAAGAAAGCACUCGGAGUGUGAAGCCAGUCAAGGCUGAGUGUGUAAGAGACGUGGAAUGUAGAGCUCUGGUGUCUGUGAAACACUUCUGCCCUAAAGAUGAAGCAGAUUUUCUUGACAGCCAAUCUGAGAACCUGAGGAAGAGUCGCAGCAAGGUCUAACACUUUAAAAUCAUCACGGGAACACACAUCAGUCAGGGAGCACACGUCAGUCAGGGAGCACCUCUCUAGGAUGCUGCUCUGCUCGGCCACAUCUGCUGUGAACGCCCUGCACCUCCCACUUCGGUCUCUCCACUUAGAAUUCCAACUCCUUGAGUUCCUAACAAUCCUAAAAAUAGCCAUAAAAAUCACUGUAGCAAUACAUGCGUGAAGUACUAUGUUGUGCGUAGGUAAGAUGGUGUCAUGAGGAGCCUGGAAGUUGUUAGAAAUCGGAUUUAUGUGGGUCCCUUUUCUUUAGGUUUCUUCAUAGGACCCACACACUCAGCCGAGGAGACAUGCACGAGGACUGGAGAGAGAGAGACAGAGAGAGAGAGAGAGAGAGAGAGAGAGAGAGAGAGAGAGAGAGAGAAAAUGAAAUAUUUAGAAAAAGAAAGAGGGUUUCUGACUUGAAAAAUUAAAGACGUUUAGAGAAAUGUCAAGUUAAUAGAGAAUUAGGAAUUGUUUAUUGCACUUUAAAGGAACAUUUUAAAGUCUUUUUAUAUGAGACUUUUUAAGCUUGAAAUCCUUCAAGUAGAACAAUCACACAAGUGUGUUCUGUUUUAUGCUCCUACUUCUUUUGUUUGCAAAAGAACUGAACUCAGUUGGCAGUGUUGAAGCCCCAGCUUCUGCAUGCAGGGUCCUAUUUCUAGCUUCUCUUGGGCUCCCCAGGUCUUACCGCAUGAGGUCUGUGGUCAUGUACCUCUGAGAGCAGCCUGCCCCUUUUAUAGGAGGCUGGGGGUCUCCAUGCUAACAAAGUCCUCACUGCUCCCCCUAGGAGGAAGCCAAAGGUCAUCUGUUACCAUGCUGAAGUUUAUACAGCUGCUUUGCUCUUCUCAUUUUGGAUAGGAGAUUUUAUUCCCUGAUCUACAACAUAUCAUCAUGCACAGGGAAAUGCUGAGGCUGUCCUGUGAAUUUCAGAUUCUAACACUGUAGGAGCAGACAGGGACCCACCUAACUCUGCGCACCUAACACUUUAUCUUUGCGUGAACAGAUGGAAUUGAUUGAUAUGCUUCAGGCAUUUACCUGUUCACACCUUGCAUUGCUUAUACACAAAAUGCUGUACUCAGAUAAGUCGUGUCGCAGUUGUGUGACUAAACAAUUCUUCAGAGGUCUAUUUAUUAUGGUCCUGCUAAUGGUCCACACACAUGGCCCGAUGUGAAGAACACAACUAUGAAUAGUGUUCCUACCCUUGAAGACCACAAUUCUAAUGGGUGUGACAGAUACUAACCAGUAAUCAGGAAUAUACAGAUGCAUGCACAAAACAAUGUGCUAGGAAAUAGACGCACUGAGUGUUAUGAGGAUUCAUCACUGAUAGAUCUGACCUUGUCUAGCAAGAUGAAGGAAAAGCUUUCCAAGAAGCUGAAGUACAAAAUGUUAAAUUACUCUGGGAAACCUAAGGCAGGAGGAUCACAAGCUUUAACCCAGCUUGGGCAAGUUGACAUGACCCCUUCUCAAAAUCAAAAAAAAAAAAAAAAAAAAGCUGCCUAAGGAUGUAGCUCAGGGCAAAGGCUCUGGGUACAAUUCUCAGUACCAAAAAUGUAAAUAAGUAAGUAAAUAAAUGACCUAGCAAGAUGAGGGAGUGUGAAGAGUACUACAAAAUCAGUUGCUAAGAAGCAAUGAUUAUGAAGCUGAUUGGAAGGUAGGGACAAGAUUCUGCAAACAUGAGCGGAAUCAGGGAGCCAGUAUGGUGCAUCACCGAAGCCAGGCCAGGGUUCCAGGGUGUUGGCUCCACUUUAGACCCAAAGGCAGAAGCUCUUGAAAGUACUCAUUAGAUGAACCAACACUGUGACACAGGAGUUUUCUCAUUUCCCAGAAAGGCUGCACGCUGCUUGAUGACAGGGCUCAUUAGAGCCUCUCGCUUAUGCAUAAACAGAGGCUGGUUGAUUUUGCUGCUGAAGGCUCCAUGCAGUACCCUGCAAUAAAAUGUGAGCAGUGGGCUGAGGGUUUUUUUUUUUUUUUUACUGAGACUUAUGUAUGGCAUGCACUACGAGGAAAAAUUUGGUUUCACUAACAAACACAUGCCACUCCUAUCAGAGGGACUUGGCUAUGCCUUAAAGGUUUAAUCCAGACAUCUGAAAAGAGUAGGAAAAUAUGACUAUUUGUGUAAAUACUUGUGUAAACAUUUAUUUUUAGGAUGUAAAGGAACCGAAUGUAUAGAUGGUGGUUCCCAGAGGUUUACAAAUGUGUCUAUCCCAUAAUUCGUGUGACCCAGAAAGUCACUUUGCACGUCAGCUUCGGUUUCCUGCUCUUUAAACUCCAGGACUGAGCAUGUGAGUCCCAGUUCCUCUUCUGCUGUGCCAGCUCACAACUGCUCUGAUACUUAAGCAAAAAUCUACUGGUUGAUAAAGGACACUGGCUCUAAAGAAACACUGUUUCACUUUGGAAUCUCCCAUUCUGUUCACUGGAUGAUGAAAAUGAAUUCCUCGGGGCACAUCAUCUGACAUAGUCUUCAUUUCUGCCAUUUAUUCUUUACAUGGACUUUUAUA